ACGUAGGGGGCGAGCGUUGUCCGGAAUUACUGGGCGUAAAGGGCGCGUAGGCGGUAAUUUAAGUCUCAUGUGAAAGCCCAUCUUUCAAGGGUGGGAUUGCAUGGGAAACUGGAUAACUUGAGUGCAGGAGAGGGAAGCGGAAUUCCGAGUGUAGCGGUGAAAUGCGUAGAUAUUCGGAGGAACACCAGUGGCGAAGGCGGCUUUCUGGACUGUAACUGACGCUGAGGCGCGAAAGCGUGGGGAGCAAACAG
Molecule: ribosomal RNA, 251 nt
Filed under: uncultured bacterium
Lineage: Bacteria
Description: partial 16S ribosomal RNA
Rfam family: Bacterial small subunit ribosomal RNA
Source: RNAcentral